AGUGGCGGACUUGGCAGUCCUGGGGUAACAGUUGGACUGGAUGAUCUUACAGGUGUUUUCCAACCUAGUUUGAUCAUUCUAGAUGAUUCUGUAAUUCUUGUAAAUGGGUUGCACUUGGCCUCUUGUAUGUGAUUGCUCUUGGCUCAUUGUACGUGGAACAAUUUGACUCCUUAGGGUGUAAAGCUGUUGAGACACUUUGGCGUAGGCAUAUGAGUGUGUCUUUUGAGAUUAGACAAUUAAUAUUCACAGACCUUGAGAUUCUGGUCUCCAUCCUGGAGUGAUGAGUCCUUUGCCCCCUACCCCUAUCCCACUGUCUGGCAUGAAAACAAGGCCAGAACAGUCAUGUCGUCUUGGAGAAGACUUCUUACUUGGUUUGUGGAUUUUUUACGUAUUCUGUGGUAUAUGUAAUAUAUAUAUUAUAUAUUAAUCGGAAAGGUAUAUAUAAUAUAUAUAUUAUAUAUUAAUAGGGAAGAGAAAAAAUAAGAGCCUUUUCACAAAUAGACUAGAAUAGUGGGGAUGUUUAUACAAAUAAAAUAUACUUUUUUCAGUGCUUUCAAUAAUACAGGGUAAUUUAAAAAUACAUUAUUUAAGCUAUAUAUGUGUAUAUAUAUAAAAACUAUAAGUUAUUUAAGCUAUGUAUGUGUAUAUAUAAUGUGUAUAUAUGUAUUAAAUCUAUAUAUAUAUUUAAUGUCAGAAUGUGGCCACCCCAGUUUUUUUAUUAGCAACCCUGAAGACUCCUUUUCAACGUAUAAUGUACUUUGGAUACAGUGUAUUUCUUCUGCUUGGGAUAAAUGGGAGUGUACCAGUCAGACUGAGCCAGUCAAGUAAGUUCCCAAAAGUUUCAGAGCUCUUCAGAUCGCUGAUGAGAGAUUAUCAGCAACUAGAUCCAUGUAGGAGGGGGACCUAGUGAUGGAUAUUUCCACCUCCCCUGAAGCAAUCAGACAGGCAUUUGCCAAACCUGGUCUUGGGAGCAGGACAGGAAGCAGCACGGUGUGAGUGAGCAAGGGGCCAGGGUGGGAGACAGCUUUCUGGGGGCAAUGGCACAGCCGAGGGGAUGGAGUACUCUGCCCCUGCUUGUGAUGACGGCAAGUCACUGGUGCAGUCACGGCAGGGCAACGGGCUCACAUGGACUCAGCAGCCCUGGGCCCCCUCUCUGCAGCGUGAGCCAAGAGCCAGUGCAAGCAGGGCCAGACGCACUGACUGUCCCCAUGGUGUACUGGGAGAAAGAGGAAGGGCAGCGCUGCUGCCUUGCCAUGGAAAACAGCUCUUGAAGGCUGAUCUUUUAUCUCUGUAGUAACCUGUUUAGCUAUUAUACAGCAUAUAUAGCCUUGCAAUAUAUGGUAUUGUGCUGGGUGACCAAGCCUCAUUAGCAGUUACCACAGAGUUUCAUUCAUUCAUUAUUAAUUAUUUGCAUAAGUGCAUGAUGGUAUUCAUUCAGUGCUGUCUUGCAGCAUCUCAUUGCAAGGGCCUUGCCUGACCAUGGGCUCUUCUCCACCCUCUUUCUUGAGCAGAAAUUAAAGAAGGUGGGCAAUGACAGCUACAGACCCCACAUUAGCUUGCUAGCCAGCAGGCUCUGUGCCCCAGCCGGGCUGAAUCUCAGACUGGUUAUGACCACUUCUUCCUUUCCUUUUUUUUUUUU
Pezoporus occidentalis (night parrot) is the source of this 1639-nucleotide long non-coding RNA. RefSeq lists it as uncharacterized. NCBI's taxonomy places the organism in Eukaryota, Metazoa, Chordata, Aves, Psittaciformes, Psittacidae. The transcript is spliced from 3 exons. The record is from RefSeq and is a predicted model, not a curated record.